UAUGUGAGGACAUUACUUCUGGAAAGUCUUGGAGUGGGUAACAUGGGAUGCUUCCACUCUGCUGUCUGAGGUGGGUUGGGACCAGGACAACUGCAGCAGUCAGCUGUUUAGCAAGCUCCUCCGGCCCCUUGCUAUCACUAGGAGACUUGGGUCCACUCAGAGCAUCAAUGCAGGAGAAGAGUCAAUGGUUUUCCACCGUGUACAGAAAAAGUAACAAUUAAUUGCAAAUGGAAGAGUUAGCGUCUUGUAAGAGGUGAUAGAUGGAGUGGACUGAAAGGUUCAUCAUGGAAUAAAGAGUGUAAUGUACGUGUAAUAUGUACAUAUAACAUGUGCCACAGAGCAUUAGGACUUACUAUUUUGCAGGAGACAGGAGGCCCCAAAAUAAAGGAAGUUUAGUGGCUAGGUGUCUGUGUAGGCUUCAGGGAAGGUUGGUCCAGUGGCUGAAAGGAGCAAGUCCUGUUCCUUUUGACCAAACCUAUCAUCAACAGACUGAUCAUCUUUCAAUCACCAUCACAGUCCUGUUAUCCAUGUGGCUUAAAUUAGGUCAUUACAGAGAACAUGGUGUAUGAAGGUAGAUAUUUGAAGUGAUUCUGGUGCUCAAUUGUGAAGUGCUUGUGUUUUGUUUUGUUUUUGUUUUUGUCUUUUUAGGGCCACACCCAUGGCAUAUUGAGGUUCCCAGGCCAGGGGCUGAAUUGGAGCUACAGCUACUGGCCUACACCACAGCCCAGCAAUGUCAGAACCGAGCCAUGUCUGACCUACACCACAGCUCACGGCAACAUUGGAUCCUUAACCCACUGAGUGAGGCCAGGGAUUGAACCUGUGUCCUCAUGGAUGCUAGUCAGAUUCAUUUCUGCUGAGCCACGGUGGGCACUCAUAAAGAGCUCGUAGUACACACAUCGGCCUACUUUGUUCAGUUCAGCAAAUAACUUACCCACCUACUGGUGCAGAAGGCUGUGUAAGGCAAUUAGGUAGACGCUCUUCUCUGAGACUGGUUAUCUUGUGGGGCAGUGAAAACAGAAGUUAAGAAAAGUGAGUGAAAAAGCUGUACUGCUGCUCUGGGUGGUGGCCUUGACGAUUGUUUCCAGCCACUUGGACUUUGGGGCUUUUAUUUGCUUUCUCUGCAAUGUUGUGGUGUGUUUGUGGCAGGGGGAUUCUGGGGUCAUGAGUUAAGUUCAAGAAUAAGGAUGGAAGAUGAUGGUAGUUUCUGGUCUUAAGCUUUUAAGUCAAGGACUGCUUUCUAAAAUGUGUGUGAGUUCUUGGCAGGCAAGCCAACUUUGAACGGUGUGACAGGCCAUGUACAUGGCCCCAGAAUAGCAUCUGAAUUACUGUGUCUCUGCUUUUUCCCCUAACUCUCAAUUGCUGAUGGACAGAAAAUGCUCAUAAAACCUUGAUUCAAACCACAGAAUGGCUGAAUAAUUCAAGUUGGAAUUUUUUUUUUUUGAAGAAUUUUGAAUCCCAAAAUAGGACUCUUAAGGAAAUGGACAUGCUUUCUUUUUUCCUCCCUUUUAAGCUUAAUUAGGUUUACAGUUAGGUAAUGGGGGUCAGAUUUAGGGGAAAGUUUAAAAAAAUUUUUUAAGCCAGAGCUUAAGGUAUACACUAGGGUUUCUUUUUAUUUACAACUUUCUUAAACAAACAAAAAACAGCAAUCCCAAACUUAAAAUAAGCUAUUUGGUGAUAAACCUCUGUCCACCAUGAAGGGACUAGGUUAUACUUACAGGAGACAAAUGCCUUGUCAAUGUAUCAUAGAAUCUUUAACUAGUUUUGAUAAAAGUCUGUUCUUUUUAAUCUUCCAAACUAGAAAUUCAUUGUCAUGAAUUUGUUGUUGAUUUUGUUGUUAUUUCUUAGGCCUCUUCUUAGAUGUUGUUUCAUUUUCAGGAUUGUAGCAUGAUUGGAACAUUCUCUCGACAUCUCUUUCUUAGCAUUCAUCUGCCAACAACCUUAACAGUUCUGUGAGCCUUCUCUGUUCUGAUUUCUUCCCAAGAAUGACAGUUUAGAUCCCUGUCUUUCUUUUCUUUUGUUCUUUUUCACUCUAGUCCUCUUCUCACAAGGUGUACUGUCAGCAGUAGUUUAGAGAUUUGUUAUUCAGGUCAUAGCUCCUUCUGUGAAAAGUAAAAAUUCAAAUUCAGGUACUUUCUUCAUCUUUGAUUUUCCCAUCUCAUUUUCUUUUUUUUUAAUUUUAAAAAAUUUUUGUGUUAUAGACUUGGAGGAUGAGAAAGAACAGAGGAGGGAGAGGAUGGCUCUGUGACCUUCCUGUUCCAUGCUUGGCCUCACUGAUGAGCAGUGAAGUCUGAGGAAGUACCUUUCCAAGGUCGUGUGUAGAGCGAACCAGGGGUGAACUCAGUCUCUACAAUGAAGGGUCAACCAGGGGUGAACUCAGUCUCCACAACCCUGAUGUGCCCUGGGGUCCUCACCUAAGAAACUGCAUUUUGAUUUUUUUUUUUUUGGCUUUUUAGGGUCACACUGGUGGCAUAUGGAAGUUCCCAGACUAGGGGUCCAAUCAGACAUGUUUGAUCUGGAAGGGACCGUUUCAAGCCUUGGGGACAAAAACCUCGUCCUUGUUAUGUCCUGCAUUGCCACCAGUGUAAGCUGGACAAAUAAUAGGUGUCCCACUGAUUGUUGGUAAUUAAAGCCUAGAAUUUGUAGGGUUUGUGAAAGCUCUGGUAUUUCAGCUGCUCAUGUACAUUAGGUUUGAGUCAAGAACAAAAGCAAGGAAGAAAAUUUUAAGGCCAGACUAUCCAAGAGGCCAUUUACCACCAUUACUGUAGGCACUGAUGAGUGUUCUUUUUCCUCUGUAUUCCUUUUCUUUAAGGACUUGGUUACAAAUGAAGCCUUUAGCUUUGUCAGCUUGUUAACAGAUACUGAUAAGGCUUCUCUGUCCCAGAGGUGCUGGGACCCUGUCUGCUCAGCCUUAAUCUCACCUGCUAAAAGGCCCUUGAGGCUUUUUUGCUGCCCCCUAGGAUUGUAGAAUACAAUUUGAAGACCACCCGUCUAGCUGAGCUCUCAUUUUUUUUAUCUAUCUAUCUAUCUAUCUAUCUAUCUAUCUAUCUAUCUAUCUAUCUAUCUGUCUAUCUCUCAUUUUAUAUGUAAAGAAAAUAGGUUUCAGGGACCCAGAAAGGGGUGGUGGUUUGGCGGAGACCCCACUGGAAGCUGUCUCUGGCUAUCCUAAUCCACCCCACACCAUGCUUCUGGCAUAGUGGGUGCUCAGACACUCUGAGUCAGUGAAUUCAAGGAAUAAGUAAGAAAGAUUGAAUGUUUUUCUAAUGGAUCUUAUAUUUGCAAAUUAAAAAAAAAAGUAAGCAAUAUUUUGGGUGCAUAAUCCUCAACCAUGAUACUAGUCAUAUGGGUAGGAUGAAGAAUGGCCAGAAGGGUCACUGGGUACAAAGUUCAAAUGUGUCUGAUGGCCACUGAGUAGUUUCUCUUGGUUCUUGACCUGCAAUUUUUUAUCUUUGUCAUCCAGGCCCUUGCCAGCAUGGGUCAGAUGAAAGGGUCUAUGGGUUUUCAACAAGCCAGUAUUAGGAAAAGGCUGGUGGAGAGACUUUGUGUUUUGUUACCUAAGCUGGGAUUUGAUCUUCAGACCCUCAAGGUGAAAGGCUAAUACCUUAAUUUGUGUGUUUUAUAAACAACCCCAGGCGAUGACCUUCUCCUAGCCUCAUGUGAUACUCACAUUCUGCAGGACUUAAAGCUAAAAUUUCUGGCUGGGAAAAGUGAAGUGUUCUGCUGCACUUGAAAAUCAACAGAGUUGAUUAGUUGUUGGUGAGUGUUGCUUGCAUACAGUUGAAUAAAAACAUUUUGGGGGAAGUUUCCAGCAAAAUGGAUUUUUUAUUGAAAAAAUUAUGAUUAAAAAAAAACCUCUUUCUAGUACGACAUGUGUCCAGCAAAAUAAGGUAUUGCCCUGUAUAGCUUUUCCCUUUCUAAAAGCUUUCCUUUCAGGGUCAUCUUGAUUUUUCUGGUGUCAGUCAAAUUAUUUUUCAGCAGAGCAUGAAAAGUGGAGAUGGAGACACUCCAUGGCUGUGUAUUAGAACCACACUGAAAGUUUUUUGUUUUAUGUAAAUAGAGAUUGAUGGAACAUUUUACACAGAGUACAGGCUUUUGACAAAAAGUAUUGAUGGUUGCUUUCAGUAAGUGUUACUUGAGAUGACAGAACAUUGCAUUUUAAGAUGAAUUACACGAGAAACUCCCUCUUUGGGAAUGUCAUACAUUUUAUUUCAUCUGUUGUUUUAUGAGAGAAUGACUGAAGUCAUGAAUACCUUAGACUGAACUGUUUCCUUUGCACAUUGUAAGUCCCAGUUUGGUGCACUCCUAUUUUAAAUGUAAAGUUAUAGGGAAAAUAUUUAUACUGGCAAAUAAUAUUGAUAAAAAUGCUUAAAUGUUUAGAAGCAGAACAUAAUUUCUCACAUGGUUUCCUCUUGUGUGAUGGUGGUUUGUGGGAAGCCUGGGAGCCUGGGUAGAGUUAAACGUAUAUUUUCCAGAAAGAGCUCAGAUUUCUGGUAACUGGCUGGCUUUCUUUCUUUCUUUCUUUUUUGGUGGGGAGGAUGUGUUGGUGAUUUCUAUCCUCUGGCUCUAUUUAGGUUUUAAAAAAGCUCCAUUUGCAUCCAUUCCUAUACAGUAUAUAGGCAGACCUCAGAGAUACUGGAUAUUUGCUUCCAGACCACUGAAGUAUAGUGAGUCAUACAAAUUUUCUGCUUUCUCAAUACAUACAAAAGCUAUGUCAACACUAUACUGUAGUCUAUUAAGAGUACAUAGCAUUAUGUCUAAAAAAAAUGUAUAUACCUUAAUUAAACAUACUCUAAUAUUGGAAUACUACUCAGCCAUAAAAAAGAAUGAAAUGAUGCCGUUCACAGCAGCAUGGAUAGACCUAGAGAUUCUCAUAUUAAGUGAAAUAAGUCAAAGACAAAUAUAUGACGUCACUUAUAUGUGGAAUCUAAAAUAAGACACAAGUGAAGUUAUUUAUGAAACGGACUCACAGACAUAGCAGACCUGUGGUUGCCAAGGGGGAAAAGGGUGGGGGAGGGACAGACUGGGAGUUUGGGAUUAGAGAUGCAAACUAUUACAUAUAGAAUGGAUAAACAACAACUUCUGUAUAGUGUAGGGAACUAUAUUCAAUAUCAUGCAAUAAACCGUUAUGGAAAAGAAUAUGAAAAAGAGUGCAUCUAUAUGUAUACCUCAGUACUUUGCGGUACCCCAGAAAGUAACACAUUGUAAACCAACUGUACUUCAAUAAAAUAAAAAAAUACUCCAUUUUUAAAAAUUGAUAACUAUCAUUUGAGCCCUCAGUGCGUUGUAGUAACAUCAAAGAUCACUGCUCACAGAUCACCGUAACAAGUAUAAUAAUAAUAGUAAUGAAAAAGUUUGAAAUACUGUGAGAAUUGCCAAAAUGUGACAGAGACACAAAGUGAGCAAAUGUAGUUGGACAAAUAGACUUGCCCAAUGCAGUUGCCACAAACCUUAAGUUUAUUUAAAAAAAAAAAUGCAGUAUCUGUGAAGUUUAAGAACAUCAAAUGCAAUAAAAUGAGGUAUGCAUGAACUGUUAUUCCUUAUGCAGAGGGCUUGAAAGUCAGGGUCUGUGAUGACUUUGGUUUUUGGCUUUAAUUUUCUUUACAGUAUGAAUUUGGGGAUACUAGCUUAAUGUCACCAGGGGAUUAAUGGGUAUUAAUAGAUUCACUAUAUAUUUACCGUUUAUGGCAGAAAUUGGGCAUAUAGUGCUUGUAGCCCAGUGAGGAAGAGAGAAAUAAGCAUAAUAAAAUCUGAAGUAGUGAUGUAUGCUGUGAAGCAGAGAAAGCAGAGGGUAAGUGGUGAGUGUGUCAGAGAAGUGGGCUAAGGAGUUAUUUCAGAUAGUUGUUGGGGAACGUUGCUCUGAGAAGUAAUGUUCAGGCAAAGAACAGAAAGACGAGAUGGUUUGAGCCGUGCAAAGUUCUGGGAAUCUGGCAAAGGGAACAGAAAGUGUAAAGACCCUGGGGCCAGAACAAGUGUGGCCUCUUGGAGGAGCAGCAAGAAGGCAGUGGUGGGAGGGCUCCAGGUUUGGGGGCUGACCUGGUGGGCUUAUACGGAAGCCAGGUUCAAGAGGAAUGUGGUUCGGCACAUCUGUCUGUGUGUAGCUAUGGACUGCUGCUUAUAUGACCAUACUGUCUCCAUGUACCUAGAGAUGGCCAAACGGGCUUUCCUAUUUUCACCUUCCUUCCAUACAAACUUCUCAGUUCGCCAUUUGCACUCUUGCUCUACCAUGUACCGGAUGUCAAUGUAGUUAAAGGCUCAGUCAUCAGGGGGAUUUUAAACUUUUCCUCCCCUGGAAUGAAUCCUUCUAUUAAGUUCACUCUCACAUCCUUUGACUAUUACUCUCCACAGUGCUCACCCCACACUGUUAUUAUUAAUUGUAUGUGUGACAGUCAUGCCAGCUCUCACUCAUGUUGGGGCCCCUCGGGCUUUGCAUAGUGCCAGGCACCCAGUGAAAUCUCAAAAUAUUUGUCCGCUAAGUAGGUGAGACAGUUCCCUGCCUAGGACCUGCUUGCCCAAUAUGAGUUCUAGAAAUGAUGCCGAAUGCAGUUGCUGAACUCCUUCCAUAUCAAAAGAACCUUAAAAUUAACUUAGGGAAAU
Molecule: long non-coding RNA, 6591 nt
Filed under: Sus scrofa (pig)
Lineage: Eukaryota; Metazoa; Chordata; Mammalia; Artiodactyla; Suidae
Description: lncRNA (ENSSSCG00055028051.1)
Source: RNAcentral